UUUGCCCGCGGUCACAUGGUUGGCGCAUGUAGGAUGGAAAUCGUGAGUCCGGGCAGGUGCUCCAGAGCUCAGUCUUGGUAACCAUCAAACCUCUAGUGAUUCCCAAGUGUUUAUCUCCAGGACCGGCUUGUCUCCUGAGGGUCCACUGACUGCAGCCUUCCUGGGAUGACUGCAGACCUGGACACUUGGUCCUACCUUUGUGCUCCCCAUGGUCAUCUAGAACCGCCCAGGGAGGAAACUGAAGAAGGGUCUGGUGAGCCCGCAGGAGGGAAAGAAGGAAUGGGGAGGCCCCACACAUGAGCCUAUUUCUUCUCCUUCCCACCUCCCCAACAGCACUUCAUUCCAAACAACCUGGGACCCAAGGACCCUAUGAAUUUCCUUGUGCUUCUGUCUCCUGUGCUCUCACUUCUCUGUUACCAUGACUUGCUCCUCAAUCUCAAUUAGGCUCCACACUCAGCAUGGAGCCCAACGCGGGGCUUGAACUCACCACCCUGAGAUCAUGACCUCAGCUGAAAUCAAGAGUCGGAUGCUCAACUGACUGAGCCACCCAGGCACCCUGCUCCUCUGUCUUCUUAAUGCUGUUCACGUCCUCCUCCAGCAGGGACGAUCACUGCCCAAAUUUCUGGUCCCUUCCUCACUUUCUGGGCCCACUGAGGCAGUGUCCUUUGGGUGUCUCCAUCAACUAGAGCAGUAUCUAACCCACGCUGGAUAAAACACAGACUGCUGGGCCCCUGCCCAGAUUCUGACUCACUGGGCCUGGAGCAGGGCCUGGGAACGUGCCUAAUGCCACGUCACAGUGCCUGCGUCAUUUACCUCACUUCAUCUCAUCACAUGGGCAUUUGUUAUCUCAAAUCAUCAGCAUCAGCAUCAUCGGAAUGGGCCUGAUGUCACUGAAAUGGGCAGAUUCUGGAUUCAGACCUCCUGGUGGGACCCUACCUCCCCAAACCACCCACUGAUGAGACCUUGGACACGUAACUCAGUCUCUCUGAGCCCGGGUUCUCCUUUUGGAAGGAUGGGGCUGGGAUAUCAUUCAACUUCAUUGGAUUAAAGCCCAGAUGAAUAUUGUCACACAUAUUUUACAUUUGAGCAAAGGAUUUGAGGAAGAUGAACCUUCAGAUAUACAGCAAGUGGUGCAGUAGGUGCCAAGCUGUCAUGUAGCCUUGAUCUUGAAAACAGAAGACUAUGCCCUGUUAUGUGCCCUCUAGGGGUCAUACUUUUCUUCCUGAAUCUCCUGUGCCGCUCUGGGCAUCAGGCCAUUUCAUCCGGUGAUAGGGCAUCUCCAGGAGGAAAGGGGAAUCUCUCCCCAAAAUGGUGUCUCUGGGCUCCUGAGUUCCCAGCAGUGUAACAGAAUGUGGACAAGAUGCUCCAGCAGUGAGUGGGAAAGGACCUUUCAGCCACCUCAGAGUUGCAUCAGCCAAGGAUUCUCUGAGUCAGCACUGGCCUGGACUCUGACAUUAUAACUCUCGAUUGUCUCCAAUCUGACACCAGCCCAUCCCCAGGAUGGCUGUGUAAGACACUGGUUCUGGAGCCCGUGACCUCAGGGGCCCUGACACUAUUCCCCUUCUACCUUCACACUUCUGCCUUGGAAGCAAUGCCUUGAAGUCCUUCCUCCUUUCUUUCCAAGCCUCCAUCCAUUUCCUGUCACAGAAGGAAUGACAACUGCUUUCAAGAGGCCAACACUGUUCAGUCACAUGCCAAUAGCAAUGGAAAGAAUGAUCCCGAACAUAGUGGUCCAUGCAUACAGUAGGUUUUCUUAGUGUAAUUUUAUAGAUGAGGACACUGAGGCUUAGAGAGGCUAAGUGACUCGCUCAAGGACACACAGCUGAGCCAGAGAUAGAUCCCAGGUCUGUCUGAUUCCCAACUAAUGAAUCUAUAGGUAUGAACAUUAUUUUGGGAAUCAUCAGCUGGAACAGAAAGGACGGGAAGGAAUGCAUUUGGGUGCACAGGUUGUGAUACUAGUGACUCCAUCAGGGACGACCCAGAACCCAGGCAAAAAUCCAUCCAGAACAAUUUAUGGAACUGCAUUUUCUAGGAACCCUCUGUCUGUCUAGGUCCUUCUAUUUACUUCCUCCCUUGGUUCCCUUCCUGUCACGCAUAAGGCCAAGAUAUCAGGUCCCUGUGAUACAUUAGGUGGGGUCUCUGUCCUUGUAGAUGCUGCCACUGAUUGGACCCUGAGGGGCAGAAAUGGGAACUUCCUGGGGUCCAGAGCUUAGUAGGUACCAGCCCGUUAUAGUCUCUUACUGUUUUUUACAUGGAUGUUCACUAGACAUGUUCAACAUGACACCUGCUAUUCACCACUACCUUUGAAGGCUAUCAGUCCCACCCACAACAGGUCACUCUGACAUAGUUCCUUAAAUAAAGAGUUGCUACUUA
This is a long non-coding RNA of Neofelis nebulosa (Clouded leopard), 2373 nucleotides long. RefSeq lists it as uncharacterized. The record is from RefSeq and is a predicted model, not a curated record. Lineage: Eukaryota; Metazoa; Chordata; Mammalia; Carnivora; Felidae. The transcript is spliced from 4 exons.